AGAGUUUGAUCCUGGCUCAGGAUGAACGCUGGCGGCGUGCCUAAUACAUGCAAGUCGAGCGAACAGACGAGGAGCUUGCUCCUUUGAYGUUAGCGGCGGAYGGGUGAGUAACACGUAGGUAACCUACCUAUAAGACUGGGAUAACUUCGGGAAACCGGAGCUAAUACCGGAUAAUAUUUCGAACCGCAUGGUUCGAUAGURAAAGAUGGCUUUGCUAUCACUUAUAGAUGGACCUGCGCCGUAUUAGCUAGUUGGUAAGGUAACGGCUUACCAAGGCAACGAUACGUAGCCGACCUGAGAGGGUGAUCGGCCACACUGGAACUGAGACACGGUCCAGACUCCUACGGGAGGCAGCAGUAGGGAAUCUUCCGCAAUGGGCGAAAGCCUGACGGAGCAACGCCGCGUGAGUGAUGAAGGUUUUCGGAUCGUAAAACUCUGUUAUUAGGGAAGAACAAACGUGUAAGUAACUGUGCACGUCUUGACGGUACCUAAUCAGAAAGCCACGGCUAACUACGUGCCAGCAGCCGCGGUAAUACGUAGGUGGCAAGCGUUAUCCGGAAUUAUUGGGCGUAAAGCGCGCGUAGGCGGUUUUUUAAGUCUGAUGUGAAAGCCCACGGCUCAACCGUGGAGGGUCAUUGGAAACUGGAAAAC
RNAcentral lists this ribosomal RNA (651 nucleotides) under Staphylococcus hominis. Its description in RNAcentral is "bacterial SSU rRNA". The record is from RNAcentral. Lineage: Bacteria; Bacillati; Bacillota; Bacilli; Caryophanales; Staphylococcaceae.